Non-coding RNA from Drosophila melanogaster (fruit fly), 721 nucleotides. The record is from Ensembl. Lineage: Eukaryota; Metazoa; Arthropoda; Insecta; Diptera; Drosophilidae.
CCCAAAUUGGUAUUAAUUACGCAAGCCGUGUAGCUGCCAUUUGUUUUGCCAUUGCGAAAUGCAACGUAUUUGCAGUGAGUCAACUUGUUUUCGCUGUACCAGCCGCACUUAAUUGUGUUUUUAUUUGCAUUCAACUCGCGGAAAAUCGAAUGAAUCGGAAUUGAUUGUUCCAAGAAGCGAUGCGAGGGCAGCCACAGUGAUUCACAUGGGGACUCGCAUCUCUUAACCGCUCAACCCGCCAUCCAUACGUCCAUCCAACUAGCCAUCCAUCCAUCCGCGGCGCAGACAUAGCCACCCACCACCCAUCACCCAUCAUUAUAAGCAGCUGCUCCCGAAUCUUAUCAUGGGAAGAGGGUCUAAGGUCCAAGCAAAUAAUACCCAGCCGCAACAGCCAUGGCAAUAACAAUAGUGCUGGCGACAGCGGGAACAAAAGUAACGCAUGGAGCCAGCCCCUCCACGCGCACACUUGGAGCCAACAACACAUGACAUGGUCGACGUUCGUCAGCCGGUCGUAUGACGAGAGUCUCCCCCGAUUUCACCUUCCCUUCGGAAGUCUGCAGUCGCCUACGCAUGAACCUCGAACAUACUUACAAGUGCGGCCAUGAUAAUAGAGAUCUGACACAUAAAUAGUUCUUAAUAGUUGGAACUGGAAAGGAAAUCGUCGGACAGCUUGGUAAUUGUGGAAAAUUGUGUGCAAAUAUUAAAUAUUGUCUUUGAUUUC